AGAAACUGAAGAUCAGUUACCCAACAAAAUAACAUCAAUUUAUUUAGACUAAUUGUUUUUAUGACUACAGACAGUAGGCUAAUAUUCCUAUUUUCUUGCAUUAAUUCAUUUGUCUGCAUGUCUAUUCAACAUUUGGCAAAAAAAUUAACCAUGCCAUGAAUUAAGAACGAUCAACAUAUUUUUUUCUUCACAAUGCAAUGCGGCACAUUGACAACUCAAAUCGCUUUAAAGAGCCUUCUAAUAUUAGACAACAAAUAAAUAAACUAAAACAACUUCAAAAACAGUCCAUUCAUAACUGGAUUUCUUCAAAUUGCUGUGCAGGAAAAGGAUGUCAUCCACCGUGCCUGGUCGCAGGCUCGCUGCUGGCUUCUCUCUGAAACCACACAUCCAUCUGUAGGUGACGCCUUAUCCUUUGGAACCACGCAAUUACCAGGUGGACAGUAGGCCUCUUGAAGCAGUAGAGGAAAUCAACAAGAUCCGCAAGUAUUCUUUCACACUAGCUGGCCUUAUGUUAUCUGCAGUUUCGAGGUGCACUGUCACACUCUGUGGUGGAUAACAUCCACUCUUCGUUUAUGUAAUGGGCUGUAAGACACAGGUAUCCUAUUUUUCGAAAAUCGUCAGUCCACAUGUCAAGUGUAAUUGCGCCAUUGCAUCAACCCCUACAAAUAUAUUCUAAUGUAUUAUAAUGCACAUAAUAAUUCAAAUAAAAUUUGCUGUAGCUAUAGGAGAGAGACUGCAUGCUAAAGACAAAUAGAAAUAAUGUGUCUUUAAGACUGCAUUAUAUGACUUAUGAAUGAGUCACUCAGCCCUAUGCUUCUGUUCCUGCUUCUGUUGCCUAUUUGAGUGUUUGUUUAAUAUCCUACUGAUUCUGUGGUCACCAAGCCCCAUGCAACCGUAAAAUGUUGGAUAAAGAACUUUCACAAAUCCGUCUGUUUUUAAACUUUGCUAUGCUGUAUUAAAGGCUUUGCGAUGUUUUUCAUUAGAACAGACUCUAUGCUAUUACUUCUACUUUAGUGUUAUUUACACUGUUCCAAACUGGCAGAUAGAUUACAAUAUAAUUUAACAGCACUUGCUUGUCAUGCAACAAUGAUUGUCUCUUGCACAAUGAUUUUACAUGAGGCCUAAUUCACAUGAUAUGCCUAAAAUACUUAUAUCCCCUAGGCUAAUAAAUAAAUCAUAUUUUUCCUUUCAAUUGUUUAAUUGCUCUAUAUCAUGAUAUUUCAAGUUUUCCCUUUGGAGCACAUGCAAAAGCGAUUUGGAGUUGUUGAGCGGGAGUGACAAAAUGUAUUACAAUUCCGUGCGCACACUCCAAAAAAUGUUUUUGUUUUUUCUACUUAGUCAGAAGAAGCUGUAAAUGGACCAUGUAACACGCAUAUAGACGCACAUACAAUAUUUGUUCAUCAACAUCUUUAUGUUUUCGUUAAUAAAAUAACGAUAAAAAAACACUUCCAAAUGUAGAUGUUUAUUUAAACUACUUCCCGCAAGCUCCACGACCACAGGUAAAACCUUGCUUAGAUUAUCAAUAAAUAAAUGGUGACUUCUGACUUGUUGCAUCUUACGGACAAUUUGGAGUAUUAUUGAUUACUGUGAAGGUCGGGUUUGGAUCAGUUUAUGUAGAUAUUUGUCGUAUCCUUCAGUGUUGCACCUGCAGGUCCAUUGGAUGUUUUGACUAUUUAUUCCAGAUUGAUUCCCCGAUAUAUAACAAACACGUAGCCUAUGCAAUGGGUAAGGUGCAAGCUAUAUAGACCUUUUUAUGUUGAGGGAAUCUCGUAUUCAUAAAUUGGCUCCAAAGCUGAUCAAAAAAGGCAAGAAUGGUCGUAAUUUUAAUUCGUCAAGCCGAUGAAAUACUUGAUUGCUGGUAAACAAUCGGCCUGAAAAAACGAAUUCUAGAGGUUAGUGUGCAUUUGCAUGGCAAAGGGAAAUGCAUGGCAAAGGGAAAUAUACGCAUUUUGGAAUUAUUUUCUGUAAUAAUGCAUUCAAAAAAGAUUUAUUGGGAAAAGAAAGCAAAAUGUGAAAAAUGCCUCAGAGCAAGAUGAGAUGCUUUUUAAGAACCAAUAUAAAGUGCUAGAAAAAGUGUGUCAAGACACUGGAGCACCGGGCCAAAUAGUGUCCCCCUCUGCGUCACAAUGGGAUUCGAUGAGUUCUAGCUUCUGUUGCUAGGGGUGUAAGAACAUAUUGUUAAAUAUGAAUGAAUAAUUUAAGCUGUUUUUAGAUUGACGUUGCUAGCUACUGUAUUUAUUUUUCUCAGCCUGCCUAGUCAGCUAGCUAGCUAGCCAGACAGUUUUAUUUAGCUAACGUUAGCUAGCUACUGUACCUGUUAUUGUAGCUUUCUGUUUGUAUGUAGCUUGCACUUCAAUGGCAUCCCUCGAUGAGAUUUUAUUUUAUCUUUCCAACCAGGUGAAGUACUCAGAAAAAACACCACUGAUCUCGAAAAGAGGCGUAACAUUCUGAGAAAUUCACAAUUCAGGGCAAUCAUAUCUACCUACGGGGGAAGGAUGGCCAGACACACAGGACGGUGAUUUCUACUAAGGAGGAGAGGAGGCCGUGCUGACCGAGAUGCAUGCUGGCCAUUUCGCAGUGAAGCGCAUGAUUGCCAAAAUCAACCUACGCUUCUUCUGACGGGGAAUUGUCAAGAAGGUGGACAGCUGGGCAAGUGAAAUAACCUUUUGUUUAUCAAUCACAGGGUUCAAUUCUCGGGCCGACUUUCUUCUCUGUAUACAUCAAUGAUGUCGCUCUUGCUGUUGGUGAUUCUCUGAUCCACCUCUACGCAGAUGACACCAUUCUGUAUACUUCUGGCUCUUCUUUGGACACUGUUAUCUAACCUCCAGACGAGCUUCAAUGCCAUACAACUCUCCUUCCGUGGCCUCCAACUGCUCUUAAAUAUCAGUACACUGUGUAGCCUGCCAGAAGUUUGAGAGGGCGAAGACUGUGGCGCCGGAGUUGAAGCCCAUCAAAGUUGUUUCACCAUGGCACAUGAUCGGUAAGUGUCCCAAUUCAAAUUUUGCCCUGAUAAGUUGGUUUGUAAUGUUUGCUUUAUUUGACAGGAGAGUUCAAUAUUAUAGAAUGUGUAUGUGUGUGUCAGUAUCCUUGCAAAUAUGAAAAGCUGCAUACUGUAUGACACAGAUACGGUAAGAAUAAAGUAAUCUUCUCUCUAAAACUUAAAAUGUUAUGGGUGGACCUCAUCGGACCCUUCACGAAAUCCAGGAAUGGCAACAGCUGGUGUCUGACGGUGACCGAUCACUUUACCAAGUGGGUGGAGGCAAUACCCAUUAAGAUCAGUAAAGGAAGAGUAUGUUCUUAACUCGGAAUUCCCUUCUGUAACCCAUUAAAAAGGGUGGUUGGAACAAAUAAAUAUAUUUUCGUUUUGUAUGAUACCUAUCAAGGACGAGACUGGCAAGGCCACCUCCAAGGCGAUGGUGGACAUCUGCAACACACAUGGUUCUCCUGAGGUCAUCUUGAGUGACCGAGGUCAUGAGCGCUGGAACAAGGUUUGGUGAAUGGACCAUCCAGACCCUCAAGGCUGCCAUGGACAAGUCCCUUGAUUGGUACCUGGAAGAGUGGGAGAAAAACCUGAAAGUAAUUCUCUUUGCACACAACAGCAGCAUCCAGGCCUCCACAAACAAAGAUAACUGAAACCCCACUUGAUGUGAUGGAAGUUGUCGAACCAGAUCUGAAUGCCUUCGAGGUCCAGUUCAGGCAUGGACUGAGAAGGAUGUGGUUUUUGACCAGGUGAGACUGAACAUGGACAAGGCGCAGGAAAAACAGAAGGAGAGCUACCGAAGCAGAAUCAAGAAGGGGACCAAGUGCUACGACAUCCGGGCAAUUUACUUGGCUUGGAAGAAGGACGAAAGGAAGGCGAGACCUGGGAAACCUCGCUGUUUUUUCGCUCCUAGCUGGGGUCACCAUCUGUUAAAGGUUACCUCAGCGGAAGUCAACAAUCUUCUACAGUUGGAGCAGUUUGACGGUCGACCACUGAAAGCAGUGACGCCCUACACUUCAGUGAAGCCCAAUAGACAAAGACCAUCGACUGUCCGAGCCCCCCCAGGAGGUAUCCCAUCCACCAGAACCAGUGAGUCCGGAUCAGUCUGAUUCUCUGUGCGCUGAGUCGGAGGGGGACCAGCUUGAGGAGCUGGAGGUUCUGCCCAACACCCAGACAUGGAUCCACCUGAUGUCCUCCAUUACCAACCACCCUCCAACUUUUCAUUAAAUAUUCUACAGCUACUGAUGUUGUCAUUAUCUGCUAAGAAAGUGAGAUAAUAUAUGAGAUAAAUCAAAUCGUAUUGGUCACAUACACGUGUUUAGCAGAUGUUAUUGAGGGUGUAGUGAAAUGCCUGAGUUUCUAGCUCCGACAGUGCAGUAAUAUCUAACAAGUAACAUCUAACAAUUUCACAACAUAUACACACAAAUCUAAGUAAAGGAAUGGAAUUAAGAAUAUAUAAAUGUAUGGAUGAGCAAUGUCAGUGGCAUAGACUAAGAUUCAGUAGAAUGGUAUAGAAUACAGUAUAUACAUAUGAGAUGGGUAAUGCAAGAUAUGUAAACAUUACAUUUUACAUUUUACAUUUAAGUCAUUUAGCAGACGCUCUUAUCCAGAGCGACUUACAAAAUGGUGCAUUCACCUUAUGAUAUCCAGUGGAACAACCACUUUACAAUAGUGCAUCUAAAUCUUUUAAGGGGGGGGGGUUAGAAGGAUUACUUUAUCCUAUCCUAGGUAUUCCUUAAAGAGGUGGGGUUUCAGGUGUCUCCGGAAGGUGGUGAUUGACUCCGCUGUCCUGGCGUCGUGAGGGAGCUUGUUCCACCAUUGGGGUGCCAGAGCAGCGAACAGUUUUGACUGGGCUGAGCGGGAACUGUGCUUCCUCAGAGGUAGGGGGCCAGCAGGCCAGAGGCGGAUGAACGCAGUGCCCUUGUUUGGGUGUAGGGCCUGAUCAGAGCCUGAAGGUAUGGAGGUGCCGUUCCCUU
RNAcentral lists this long non-coding RNA (4956 nucleotides) under Salmo salar (Atlantic salmon). RNAcentral's name for it is "lncRNA (ENSSSAG00000117689.1)". Lineage: Eukaryota; Metazoa; Chordata; Actinopteri; Salmoniformes; Salmonidae. The record is from RNAcentral.